AGAAAAAGCCGAAGACUGGCGCCGGCUCCUGCUAGAGGAAGGGGAGGGGGAGAGUGUUGCUAGUUUGAAUAAUCAGAAAGUCCUUUCUCGUACAGCUAAAAGAUAUCACUAAGCGGAUCCAGGUUGCCACUUUAUAGAGGAGCGGAAAUAUCCGUUCUGCAUGAGGUUAUCUCAGGACAUGGAGAUGAACAAAGAACAGUUUGGAUCCCCCUCUCUUUUUCAUGAGAGGCUUUCAGUUGGUGUAAGAGGUUAAAAAGGGCCCUGUGUCCUUUGAGGAAGUGGCUGUGUAUUUCAUAGAAGAGGAGUGGGCUUUGCUGGAUCCUGGCCGAAGAAGUCAUGAUGGAGAAUGAUGAGAAAUAAGUCUUUCUGAAGCACAAGUGUUAGCUAAGAAGGCCUGAAGUUGGUUGGCCACAUAUUUGUCUAUGGAUGUUUUUUUAAGUAGGGGGUGGAUUACUGCCUCUUUGAUCGUCUAAUGGAAGGUGCCUUGCAUUAGUGAUGAUAAACAUCAAGGGCUAAUUUACUCGGACCUUAAAAGAUUUUAACAGCUAGGAUGGGCAAGGAUCCCGUGCGCAAGUUGGGUCUUCAUAGAUGACAGGAUCUUGUCAAUACACAUUUUUAUAUGAAAGUUUGUUGUAAACUGCGUUGAGUGCUGUA
This is a long non-coding RNA of Eublepharis macularius, 654 nucleotides long. RefSeq lists it as uncharacterized. NCBI's taxonomy places the organism in Eukaryota, Metazoa, Chordata, Lepidosauria, Squamata, Eublepharidae. The record is from RefSeq and is a predicted model, not a curated record. The transcript has 4 exons.